This 252-nucleotide ribosomal RNA is filed under the name uncultured bacterium. RNAcentral's name for it is "partial 16S ribosomal RNA". It matches the Rfam family "Bacterial small subunit ribosomal RNA", at positions 525 to 776 of the family's 1533-position model. The record is from RNAcentral.
ACGGAGGGUGCGAGCGUUAAUCGGAAUUACUGGGCGUAAAGCGCACGUAGGCGGUUUGUUAAGCAAGAUGUGAAAGCCCAGGGCUCAACCUUGGAAUUGCAUUUUGAACUGGCAAGCUAGAGUUUUGAAGAGGGUGGUAGAAUUUCCAGUGUAGCGGUGAAAUGCGUAGAUAUUGGAAGGAAUACCAGUGGCGAAGGCGGCCACCUGGUCAAAAACUGACGCUGAGGAGCGAAAGCGUGGGGAGCAAACAGG